AAAUGUGAGGGCAAUCUGGCUAUGUCAUUUGUCACCCCAGUGAUCUCCAGUGUUAAUUGAUCUGAUCUGGCUGGCCAGACAGGUAUCCCUUCCUUCAUUACUACUUCUUGCUAGUCUCCUAAAGCUGCCCACCUCUUGGAAGAAAACCUUCCCCUUACAGAGCAGGGCCAUCAUCCUUGUACAGUAGAUACCCUCUCCUUCUAGACCCUCCAAAGAAGGAUCUGGAAAUGGGGGAGGGGCUGCCUUGGAAGUUUCUUACACAUAACCCUAGCUCUGAUGAUGUU
This is an unclassified non-coding RNA of Mesocricetus auratus (golden hamster), 284 nucleotides long. Its record names the gene 7SK. It matches the Rfam family "7SK RNA". Rfam says of the family: 7SK was discovered as an abundant small nuclear RNA in the mid-70s but a possible function has only recently been suggested. The record is from Ensembl. Lineage: Eukaryota; Metazoa; Chordata; Mammalia; Rodentia; Cricetidae.